AGGUGAAAGUGAAAAUUUGGUUCAAGGUCUCUCAAGAAGAAGAUGAUCAAGGUGAAAGUGAAAAGUGAGAGUGCUUUACAGAGGUGGCUUGAGGUCCUUUUUUAUAGUGUAAAACCAUGAUGAAGAGGAAAUCUAUUGUCCAAUGGUUUUAGUCUGAUAUUUGGUUUACUGCUUUUUCCAAAAUAUCUUUAGGUAUUU
Non-coding RNA from Arachis ipaensis, 198 nucleotides. The record is from RefSeq and is a predicted model, not a curated record. Lineage: Eukaryota; Viridiplantae; Streptophyta; Magnoliopsida; Fabales; Fabaceae.